AAAAUGUUCAAAGAUUUCCCAAAAAUGUUGAAAAUGUGGACAUCAGAAGUUUCACUGUGAAAAUAUAUUUUUUUCCACAUUUUCAGACUUUAAAACGGGUCAAUUUUAUCCUGCAGGAUGACACGAGGGUUAAACUUAUUUUGAGUUUUCUUGUAAAAUUCAACUCAAAACAAGAUAGUUUCAAGAUUGUUUGACUUAACAAGAUAUUUAAGAUGCAUUGUCUUAAAACAAGUCCCUCCAUCUUGCUGAAAUGUCUCUUGUUAAGUGAAUUUAUCUUAAAUCGAGUGGGAUGAGACAUUUUGACUAAAAAUAAGACACAGACUUGGUAAGAUUUUGAGUUUUUGCAGUGUAUUUCUCGACUUUUCUUCCUGGUGUUGGCUGCAGCAGCUGUGUUGCUUUGAACCUGUGUCAUAGUUUUAAAUUCUUCAUAUUGGUUUGGGAUUACAGUUUGUCCUCUUGUGAGAAAUAUGUGGCUCUAAACAUGUCCAUGUUUGGUCAUCUGGUGCCAACACCUCCUCUUCGUGUCAACACCCUCAUAACCAGUUUGAGAAACCCUGGGCUGACUUACCCAGUUGAUCACCAGCUUCGUGAGACUGCUGAGCCUGACAGCGGUUGUUGGGUGUAGUGAAGCCCGAUACCCCACAGAUAUACUGUGUAAGAUGAGCCUGCUUUUCAUAGCACAGGCCUCUGAUGUCCCAACCUUGUUUACCUGUUGAAUGUGAACAUGAAUUAUGCUCUAACUUUGCUACAUUUCAAAUCAUCUUAAAUGUCCUACUCAACAAGUGACAUAUCAUUGAAAUCCUGCUGAUGUUGUCAACAAACUUUUUUUUUUUGUAGCGAUGGUAGAAAAGGUGUGGUGUAUAAUGGAUCAUCUUUUGUUCUGAUUCUCAGCUGGACUGAGAUUAAUUAAGCUGAGAAUCGGUUUUCCAGCUGUCAGUAGAGAAGCUCAUGCCCGUAGGUUGCAAAUAUAAUUGCGGAGGUACAUAAAACUCUGGAAUAUUUCCCAGCCACUUUAAACUCGGUAACUGGCGGACUGUAAUGCUUUUGUAAUGGAGGUUUUAUCUCACUGAAGCUUAGGGGCAAACACAAGAUCUCAGGUAUCCGCUGCUGCAUGAGUCACAUGCGAGACUGAACCAUAGUUGUAUGUUCUUCUUCCACCAUUGUUGCUUUUGGUUCUCUACUGUAUCUAUGGCAAUAAACUACUGAGUGCAG
Amphiprion ocellaris (clown anemonefish) is the source of this 1212-nucleotide long non-coding RNA. The record is from Ensembl. Lineage: Eukaryota; Metazoa; Chordata; Actinopteri; Pomacentridae.